This 124-nucleotide non-coding RNA is filed under the name Ruminococcus gauvreauii. RNAcentral's name for it is "yjdF RNA". It matches the Rfam family "azaaromatic riboswitch aptamer (yjdF RNA)", at positions 5 to 92 of the family's 101-position model. Lineage: Bacteria; Bacillati; Bacillota; Clostridia; Eubacteriales; Oscillospiraceae. The record is from RNAcentral.
GCAAAGAUAAAAACACAACGUAUGGUGUUACCAUACAGACCCGGUAGGUAGUCCGGGCGUAAACAGAUUCUCACGGAUGCUGUUUAUAAGUAACCUUCCUCCUUAGGUCGUCCAUUCUUUGUCC